UCUUCCAAAAAGGUAUGGGAGUUGGAGGCAAGGUGGUUGGAGCUAAGCCUUCCCAAAUGGCUGCAUCAAAGACAUCUUUAACUUUAUCCUGUAAAUGGAGAAAAAACAAAGUGCGAAUUGAUUUUUACGUGGAAUUUGUCAAAAGUGUUUGAUUU
Molecule: long non-coding RNA, 155 nt
Organism: Lucilia cuprina (Australian sheep blowfly)
Lineage: Eukaryota; Metazoa; Arthropoda; Insecta; Diptera; Calliphoridae
Exons: 2
Source: RefSeq, a predicted model, not a curated record